Molecule: ribosomal RNA, 519 nt
Filed under: uncultured Actinomyces sp.
Lineage: Bacteria; Bacillati; Actinomycetota; Actinomycetes; Actinomycetales; Actinomycetaceae
Description: partial 16S ribosomal RNA
Source: RNAcentral
CGCGUAGUUAGCCGGCGCUUCUUUACCCACUACCCUCACCACAACCAUUGUUGCGGCUUGACCAUGAGCGAAAGAGGUUCACAACCCGAAGGCCUCCAUCCCUCACGCGGCGUCGCUGCAUCAGGCUUGCGCCCAUUGUGCAAUAUUCCCCACUGCUGCCUCCCGUAGGAGUCUGGGCCGUAUCUCAGUCCCAAUGUGACCGGUCACCCUCUCAGGCCGGCUACCCGUCAAAGCCUUGGUAGGCCAUCACCCCACCAACAAGCUGAUAGGCCGCGAGCCCAUCCCCCACCAGAAAAAUCCUUUCCACCAACCCCCAUGCGAAGACCAGUGAAUAUCCAGUAUUAGCACCGUUUCCGGGCGUUAUACCCAAAGAAGGGGCAGGUUACUCACGUGUACUCACCGUUCGCCACUCAUCCACCAACAAAAGCUGAGCUUCAGCGUUCGACUUGCUAUGUAGUUAAGCUACGCCGCCGAGCCGUUCGUUACCUGUACGACCGUACGGAAGUCCGUAAAACUACU